GACAGUUGGACGUUAGGAAAAAGUUCCUAACUGGUUAAACACUGGAAUAAAUUGCCUAGGGAGGUUGUGGAAUCUCCGUCUCUAGAGAUAUUUAAGAGUAGGUUAGAUAAAUGUCUAUCCGGGAUGGUCUAGACAGUAUUUGGUCCUGCCAUGCGGGCAGGGGACUGGACUCGACGACCUCUCGAGGUCCCUUCCAGUCCUAGAGUCUAUGAAUCUAUGAUGGUCCCCUCUGGGGGCCCCAGCCCAUGGGGAGGGAGCCCAGCACCCUGACCUUGUCUUCCCACCCGGCAGCCCGGCCCUCCCUGACCCUGCAGACAGUGGUGACACCGGCGGGGCUGGGCGCCCUGCAGGUCCGGGUGAGUCGCUACUACCCCCCCAACAUCACGGUGGAAUGGCUGCGGGACAGGGCGAUCCUGCACAGCAUGGAAUCACUCCCCACACGGGCACCGGACGGGUCCUUCACCCUCCGCAGUAGCUACAUCCUCGACCGCCCAGAGCCCGACACCCGGGUCGCCUUCACCUGCCGCGUGCAGCACCCGGCGCUGCCCACCCCGCUGGCGCAGAGCGUCACCUGGAAAGAGACAGACGUCAUAAGUCAAGACAGAACCCCAAACAAAGGACCCGAACCAAGCCCAACUCGGGUCUGGAUGUGGUUAUGGCUGGCCAUGGUGCCCCUACUGGUCGUGGUCUUGCUGUGCAUCGGGUACUGGAGCUAUCGCAUCAGCAUGUCCUCGAUCCGUGCCUGGGAGUGUUUGCCGGAGGGCAGCGCGACAGCACUGCUCUGCGAGGCGGAGGGGAGGCUCCGCGACACAGACAGCCUGACCUGGAGGAGCAAGCGCCAGGGGAAGGAGCUGGGGGCUGGGCAGCCCGGGGAGCUGAACACGCUGAUGCCGAAGCUGGAGCAGCACCGCGUGGUGACGUGGCGGCGCGACCUCGGGCUGGGCAGGCGGCGGCUCACGUCGGUCCUCACCAUCCAGACCCCGCGCGAAGACGACACUUUCAGCUGCACGUUCCAAGGCGCGAGGGGCAUGAAGCAGACACACAUCACAAUCCCCGGCGUGCUGGCGGGUGGCCCGCUUCUGGAUGGAGACAUGGCCAUUUUUUGACCGUCGUGCACUCACGCUACGGCCGGUGCUGGGGAGAGAGAGAGAGCCAGCUGCAAACUGCUUGGAGAGGAGAGAACAAACUGACCCCUUGUGAUGCUGUGUGAUUGACAUGUGACUGUGUACAGCCUUGGUGUGGCCACUGUGCUCCAACUGCAAGAGAACUUGUACCACGUACGUCAGGUCCGGUGUCACUGGAAAAGUUGCGAAUUGCUAAGUAUGGAUAUCCUGCUUAUAUGUGUACCACCCCCCCGCCCCCGUCCACUGGCCCAGUGUGAGGUUGUUCCAGAUAGGGGAAGCCUCUUUGUGACCUUUUACACAACUUUAGGGGACUGGGCCUGAGGCUCCUUUGUGUGCUCUGCGUUGUGUGUCAGUGUGUUCACCUCAGCCCAGACCCACGCAGACAAACCACCAGAGAGCGCGACCGCACUGUCCCUUUAAGGCGCUUUAAGCUGCUAAGUGUCGACUCAGGCUACGGCUACACGAGAGAGUUCAAAGCGCUGCCACCUGAGUGCUCCCGCAGCAGCACUUUGAUGUGCGAGUGGGGUUGUGCGCGAGACAGCUCUCCCAGCGCUCCUCGUAAUCCACCUCCACGAGGGGAGUCGCUCCGAGCGCCGGGAGCCUGUCUACACUAGCGACUUUAAAGCGCUCAGACUUGCUGCGCUCAGGGGGGUGAUUUUUCACCCCCCUGAGCAGCGGCGGCUCCAGGCACCAGCGCCCCAAGCGCAUGCCUGGGGCAGCAAGCCGUGGGGGGCGGCCUGCCGGUCCCUGC
RNAcentral lists this long non-coding RNA (1875 nucleotides) under Chrysemys picta bellii (western painted turtle). RNAcentral describes it as "lncRNA (ENSCPBG00000003925.1)". Lineage: Eukaryota; Metazoa; Chordata; Testudines; Emydidae. The record is from RNAcentral.